UCUCAUCCCCUCCUUGUGCUCACAAUAGUCCCAACCAACCUGACUCUUGGCUGUUUGGGCAGCAGGUCUUCCUCACAGAGUAGAGCAAGAGGAACCAGCAGUCCAAUUUGACAGAAACUGCUGAGGAGCCCGGUAGAUCUGUGAGCUUUCUGGGAGGGAGCUUGCUCAGGACUGUCCAGGGCCAGGUAGCUAGAGCUCUGGUCUGGGAACAAAACAGAGGACAGGUGUGCACUGAUUUCUUGAGCCUGAGGCUGGAGCCUAAGGCAGGAGAGUAGGUCCAGGCCAGAACCCCUCACCUCCUUGAAGACUCCUUUUGUGGACUUGCUGCCCUGCAAAGGUCUCAGUAGAGGAGAGAAGCUGGGUGGUGAGCACCACCUGCUCAGUUAGAGCAGGAAGGGGCUGUGGCCUGCAAAGCCCCAGGGCUUCUACAGGACACCCAUUCCUCCUCCAAGGUUUUCACUUCAAAGAACCAACUUACUUCUCUUCAUCAUCCAGCAUUGGAAACAAAGCUCAGAGAGGAAACUCUAGGAUUUCCUCCUCUCCCUUCUGGAUCAUCAGGCUGGCUCUCAAAACCCAAAAUGCAUCAGUACAUUUCCCAGUGCAAACUCAACAAUGAGAGUCUGUUAACUCAAACACCAUCCAUCCUUCCAAAUGUUUGAGCUUGGACCAUUUGCCAAAUGGAGCCUCAGAUUGUGAAGACCCAGGCUGGAGAUGUCAGCCACACGAAGCUGACUUUGAGUCUUUCAGGAAGGUGCCAGCACGGAAAGGCGUGUGUGAAUGCCACAUAAACGUUUGACCUAGCAUAGAACCUAAGAGCUUCGGUAGGGAGAGAAGAAAUGUACAAAGGUAGCCUCUGAGUGUGCAGGCAUCUGUGGAAAGGGGGUCUCAGAAAAAUUAAACAGCAGACAGAUGAGGGACCUUAAGACAGGGACCUCUUAGGGUUGCAGUCUGGAGGUUUCAGGAGAAAGAAUAUAUACCGAUGCUGAUUUGAAUAGGAAUGGUCCACAUAGAUUUGACUGCUGGAUCACCAGAGAGUAGUUCUAUUUGAAAGGAUUAGAGGGUAUGGCCUUGUGGGUAGUGUGGCCUUGUUUGAGGAAAUGUGUCACUGACGGUAGGCUUUGAAGUUACAGAAGCCCAAACAAGGUUUAGUGAGUGUCUCUUUCUGACUCUCUGUCUCCCUGUCUCUCAGUCUCUCUGUCUCUCUGUUUUCCUGUUUCUCUGACUAUCUCUCUGCCUCUCCUUGUCUCUGUCUCUCUCUGUGUCUGUCUGUCUGUCUGCCUGUCUGUCUGUCUCCCUGUCUCUCUGUCUCUUGCUCUCUCACUCUCUCUGCUGCCAGGAUCCAAAUGUAGAAGUCUCAGCUGCUUCUCCAGCGCCAUGUCUAGGCGCAUGCAGCUCUGCUCCCUGCUAUGAUAAUAAUGGACUAAACCUCGGAAACUCUGAGCAAGCUCCAGUUAAAUGCUUUCUUUUGUAGGAGUUACCAUGGCUGUGACAUCUCUUACAACAACAGAACACUAAGACAGCACCGAACAGUGAAAAUAAUAAAUGGCACAGUUGGUGUCCAAGGGCUGCUACAGUCACACAAGCAGGCCAUUGCAGGCAGAAAACAGUGUGGUGAGUGGAUGACGCCACCCAAUGGUGUCUUCACAGGCCGGUGUGGAAAUGAGAAGAGCGCAUGGACAAGGGAGGUUGGUCUCGUCUCGAGACCGGAUUGUUCAGCAGACUUCCCGCUUUGGGUUGGCAUCUGGACCUGGUCUCUAGUGUUCCUCACCAGGGCUUCCCAUCAGGGUGAGGAUAUGCGCCUAUUGUCCGUGAUUCAGUCUCCUGAGAGGAAACUGCGGCUGACACCAGGUUGGCUUGGGGUUUAGACUCCAGGUUCUUUGGCAGGAGGCUGCCUGUGUCUUUACUGAAACAUGGGCUGAAGGCAGACAGCAGAACCUCAAUGUUUCAAAGUUUUGGAGUCCAGAGGAAAGAAGAGCAAAAGGAACAUUUAGCAGUGGCUUGCACAGGGAGACACAUGGUCAUUCUGGAUGGGACCUGAGGUUGAAUUCACCCAUUGUGUGCCUGGCACCUUAUGAUGUGAAAGAGGCUCCUGCAAACAGAGGAAGAGGAGGCAGAUUCUGUGGUCUGCAAGCACCCAGAGAGAGACAGUAAUGCCUACUGCAUAGUGUGUGAGUGCGUAAACGGGGCCAGGAAAGUGAAGACCAAGCAGGAUCCUCAGUCUUCUGUGUUAUAUGAAGCCUUGUGGCUUGGCCAGACAUCAUAGCUCAUAGAGCCAUGGUGAGAACCAAGAGGCAGAGAUCCUGGGGCUGCCAUGAAGCUGUUGUGCUACUGAAGACAAAGAGGCAGCAAAGAAGGCCAGGUCCAACAGUGGGGAUGGUUCUGGCACUUUCCCCCUGCUGGGCAACACUGGGAUUUCCCUGUCAGGGUUUUCUUGACCAGGCCUGCCCCAUGGUUGUUCUGUGGGAGGAGCACAGGCUGUAUGAGGCUCUAGUGCAACCCCACACAGUUUGGUCCUCACCGCCUCAGAAUGCCCUCGGCCGGAGGAAUCAACGCACGUGAUGUCUGACCCUUCCACACAAACCUUGUCCUGGGAAAUUAAUCCUUGUCCUUUCCCCUAUUGAGGCAAGCAGUGUUCCUAACAGCAGAAACCCUGCAGUCAGGCUCCCUGAUGUGGAGCCAUGGAUCAGAGCCUCUGCCUCCCUCCCUGGGCUAGACCGUCCAUGUGAUACAGGGGCCGCUAGUUACAGUAGCACAGCCUGCUCCACCCCACUGAUAUACAAGUCAGAUAAAUAAGAUCACAAUGUGGUUAUAUAUCAUUACGGGAUUAUACUGUAAUAGAACUGUGAAUUGUAUAAUUAUAUAUUACAGUAAGUUGUGGAUUAUGUGCCUGUAUAUUAUAAUUUUUCCACAGAGAAAGCAACUGACAGAGCCUUAUAUAUAUUAUUUUGUGGUUCUGUAGCUCUCGAGGCAAGUGUUAUCCACCGGGCCACCUGUCCAACCAAAUACUUAUCUUAAAGGGGAGAUGUAAAGACAGCAUAUACAGGAUGUGGCUCAUAGCAGAACAUUCAGGAUGUGCAAGGUUUGGAUCUUGAUCUUCCACAGUGUAAAGUAGCAACAACAACAACAACAACAACAACAACAACAACAACAACACAGGUGUAGGGAAGCACACACAACGACACUAACUGAAGACUUUACCAAAUUCAGUCUUUUGUUCUCACAAGAACCUUGAGCAAGAGUACAUUAUUUUCAAGGUUGCUUUUUUUAAAAAAAAUCUCUUUUUUAUCCCCUUCCCCGUAGGAAGGAGGCGGUUCUAUGAUCACAGUUGUGAGAAAAUUGUGUGGACUGAGGAAACCUCAGUGUGUUUAGUAAAAUAUCAGUAAAACUCAGGAUAUUGGCUCAAUGUGCGAUAGACCAGAGAAAUUCUAAUAUUGCCCUAAAAACACCAAGCCUUCUUUUGUAGGUUUUUUUUGUAGUUUAAGGCAAGUAAAAACAUUCAUAUUUGAUAACUUUAAUAUCAAUGGUUAACACUAAUUGUUUAACACAAACGUUUUACUUUGAUGUGGCCAAAUACACCACCUCCUGUUAGAUAUCUGCUUUUUCUGUUUUUUAAAAUUUCUACAAUUUUAGUUUGCACACACAGGCCUUUAGUCUCCAUGGAGUUUAUGUUUUGGGGACAUGGCAUAAGGCAGGACUCUGUCUCUUUGUUUAUGACUGUCCUUCUGAUCAUCACUAAAGGCAUUGUUUUUAUCACAGA
Molecule: long non-coding RNA, 3757 nt
Organism: Rattus norvegicus (Norway rat)
Lineage: Eukaryota; Metazoa; Chordata; Mammalia; Rodentia; Muridae
Source: RefSeq, a predicted model, not a curated record